ACUGGAUAAAAGUGAGCUGGUACAGAAAGCCAACUCACUGAGCAGGCUGAGCGCUAUGAUGAUAUGGCUGUAGUCACGAAGGCAGUCACAGAACGAGGCAUGAAUACUCCAACGAAGAGAGAAAUCUGCUCUCUGUUGCCUACAAGAACAUGGUUGGUGCCCGCUGCUUUCCUGGCAUGUCUUCUCCAGCAUUGAGCAGAAAACAGAGGAAUGAGAAACAGCAGCAGAUGGGGAGAGAGUAGCAUGAGAAGAUAGAGGCAGAACUGCAGGACAUCUGCAAUGACGUUCUGGAGCUGUUGGACAAAUAUCUUGUUCUCAAUUCUAUACAACCAUUUUCUAUUUGAAAAUGAAAGGAGAUUAUUUUAGGUAUUUUUCUGAAGUGGCAUCUGGAGACAACAAACAAACCACUGUGUGGAAUUCCCAGCAGGCUUACCAGGAAGCAUUUGAAAUUAGUAAGAAAGAAGAAAUGCAGCCUACACAUCCAGUUUGACUUGGUCUGGCACUUAAUUUCUCAGUCUUUUACUAUGAGAUUCUAAACUCUACUGAAAAGGCCUGCAGCCUGGCAAAAACAGUAUUUGAUGAAGCAAUUACUGAAUUGGAUACACUGAAUGAAGAGUCUUAUAAAGACAGCACUCUGAUCAUGCAAUUACUUGGGACAGUGUUACUCUGUGGACAUCGGAAAACCAGGAAGAUGAAGGAGAUGCUGGGGAGGG
This 713-nucleotide long non-coding RNA is filed under the name Homo sapiens (human). RNAcentral describes it as "non-protein coding lnc-UEVLD-5:1". The record is from RNAcentral. Lineage: Eukaryota; Metazoa; Chordata; Mammalia; Primates; Hominidae.